RNAcentral lists this transfer RNA (71 nucleotides) under Stegodyphus mimosarum. It matches the Rfam family "tRNA". From Rfam's summary of the family: Transfer RNA (tRNA) molecules are approximately 80 nucleotides in length. Their secondary structure includes four short double-helical elements and three loops (D, anti-codon, and T loops). Lineage: Eukaryota; Metazoa; Arthropoda; Arachnida; Araneae; Eresidae. The record is from Rfam by way of RNAcentral.
GCUUUUGUAGUUCAUCUGUAGCACACUCGACUUGUAUUCGAGAGGUCCAGGUUCGAGUCCAGGAGAGAGCA